This 6937-nucleotide long non-coding RNA is filed under the name Ananas comosus (pineapple). Its description in RNAcentral is "long non-coding RNA (ACOM_LNC010280)". The record is from RNAcentral. Lineage: Eukaryota; Viridiplantae; Streptophyta; Magnoliopsida; Poales; Bromeliaceae.
UAAACUCAUGAAAACGGAUUUGAAGCAUCGUGGCACAUAACCGAAGACCUUUAAUUUUCGGAUCGUGAAUUGGAGGCCGUUCGGGUGGUCGCGCGAGAGAUCGGGCCAAACCGGGUGCCGGGUGCCGCGGGAGGCCGAUUGCAAGUGUCGACAAGCAAUCGGAAUGCGAAAUGAGGUGGGUUGUGCUUACCGAAGCGACUAGGUCGCCCUUUAUGUUUAAGAAACAUACGAAUUCACAUUGAUGCAUAUAGUUGUAUUGGUAGGCUUACAUGAUAAUAUGAAUGCUUGAAACAUAUUAUGUAGUUGAUAUUACCUACCAAUGAGAUGAAAUGUAUAAUGAAUUAAAUGCUAAAAGAAUGCAUGAGAUGCUAAGUAUAGACUACUUUGGAUGAUGAUUAUAUGUAUGUUGACAUAUCAUGUGAUGCUAGUAAUAUAUGUGCAUGAUGACAUGUUGUGAAUUAACAUAUUGUGGAUUAUGUUAAAUAGAAACAUAUACAUGAUGACAUAUAUUGCAUAUGAUAGAAGAAUUAUACAUGUUGCCAUAUUGUGGAACAUAGUAGAUGAAUUAUGCAUGUUGAACUUGGUCGAUUAGAGAAAUUGACAUUGGAAAACAAGAACACAUCGAGUGGCAUUAAUGUAGUGUAUUUGACACUAGAGGUUUGAGAACCUAGGGAUAGGUGAAUCCCUUAGAAAAUGCCUUGUGGAUAAAGAACUUAGUAAACCUAAGUACCCUCACAUGGAGAGGUUGUCGAUGAGUUAUUGAGAUAUUGACUCUAGUUGUAGAGCAUCCUCACUUGGAGAGGAUUUGAUUGGGUUGUUGACUCCAGUUGUAGAGCAUCCUCACUUGGAGAGGAUUCGAUUGGGUUAUUGACUCUAGUUGUAGAGCCUCCUCACUUGGAGAGGAUUGGAUUGGGUGUUGACCCUAGUUACAGUGUAUCCUCACUUGGAGAGGAUUGAUCUAGCUCACAGUCUGCGUGUAGGGUGGUAUAGCCAUCCAAUCCCCACAUGGAGGGGAUUGUCGUCGAGUACUCCGGAGUGUCGCGCGACUAGGACCACUUGGAGGUCCGGACCACAUGGAGGUCCGCAGACAGUCCCGGGCUUGGGUGCACUUAGAGCUCCCUCCCCACUUUGGGAUUGAAAGAUGAGUUAUUGGCGAACCCUAGGGCUUCGCUACAGAUUGGGUAAAAGAACAGUGAACAAUGCCAUUGAACAUUAUUAUUCGAACAUGGAUCGAAUUUGUCAGCAUGAUAGUAAACCUUUACUAUUUGAUGCAUGGUAUGAGUUUUAGUUGCAUCCCAGUUGAGUGGAUUUAGGGCCGAGGUGCAUGUGAGACAUCCUUCACCUUGAGCCUGGCUUUGUGCGGUAUACCGCGUGUGAUUGACUCAAGACUGAGUCGAGUGGAUAGCUUAUAAAAGCAGGUUAAACCCUAUGAGCAGAAUUAUAAUUGACAAGAAUCUAAGAUAGAGGAAAACUUAGAAGUCAAUUGGUUGAACCGUGAAUGACAGGAAUAAAAGUAGUAUCGAUUGAACUACUAGUUGGUUGCAUGGUUGCAUAAACUGCAUAAAUUUCAUAUUGCAUUUUGUGAGGCACAACAUGUAUUUCAAUACUUGAAUAUAUAUAUCUGUUGGAUAUCUGUUGGACUAACAUGUUGCAGGGCCUCCUUAGACCUAUUGGUCGAGCUUUUCCCUUGGGUGGCCGUACCCACUGGGAACCAUGGAGUUGGUUCUCACCCCACGUUGUUUUGGGGUGUUACAGGUUCGCACGUGAGCGGCGCGGCGGCGCAAGGCGAGGGCGUAGCUCCAUAGAUAGCGCCCUACCCCAGAGACCAGAGAUAGAGGUACCCCGAGUCGGCAUAGCCUAGGAGUAGAGGGAAAAGAAAAGAAAGAGCAAACUUGUAAUAAUAUUGCGAUCAUUAAUUGUAUUUGGAAGAAAAUGUAAUGUAAUAAUGCUAAUGGGAUGUAAAAAUGAAUCUAAUGGGAAUGCUUGUAAUAACAUAGGGUGUGUUAUGUUGUUUGAUACCUUCCUUAUGCAAUCUUGCUUGAAUACUGUUCCUGGUUGGAACUUCUUGUACUUGUAUUGAUUGCGAUGCCUAGGACGUACAGGGGAGACUCUGUCCGUUCGGCGGUCUGUCGGCGGCGCCGCGACCUCGGCCAAAUAGGCGGGUGGUCGCGGGUCGUGACAGAUAAUAGUGGUAUCAGAGUAUAAAGUAGAGAAUGGAAAAUAUUUUAGGCGGACCUAGGAGACCCUAGGAUAGUAAAUCAUAGGAGAAUAAGGCUCGUGAGAGACGAGGACUUGUGACUUAUGGCGAAAGAUUGAUCGAUUGGGUCAGGUUAGUAAACCUCUAAAAUGGAUGUUAGAGGUAGACUCGAGGUGUGGUUUAUUCUCAACCGAGGGUGUUCAUGUUAGGUAUACACAACAUGAAACCGAGUGAUGAGAAUAGACACCCUUGCAUGACUUUCGCCCGAUUCGAGUCGGUGUCAGUUGUUUCGCGCUCGACCUUGAGGGUCGAGAAUCGACCGAGUUGUCGUGUCUUAGGAAGCGAUAGCACCGUGUAGGCGAUCUUAAUCUAGAUCGGCGUGGGAUGGGACGAGUGGCGUCCCUAAGCAAUCCGAAACUAGCGGAGACUUGGGACUUCGCGAGUGAUUGGCCACUCUCGUGUGAGUGGUAGGGUAAUGCCUCAGCGGAGACCUUGGCCGGACGUGGUCGAGGUUGUGCAUGUAAGGAAGUGAAUUCUCGAAAUCCGAGAGUUGUGCUUCGUCCAGGAUCGACUCUUUGUCGAGUGAGUAUCCUUCGAAAAAGCUAGAGAUGUCAAAAAUACAAAAAGUGCAUUGGAAACGUGUCCGCGAGAGCAAAUUUGCAAAAAAUCUGGACUUAGCAGAUUUUGCUCUCAGGGACCGGUCCCUGGAAGGGAGGACCGGUCCCCGUAGCUAAUGGUUGCGGGGGAGGUUGAUGCAACCGGUCCCUGGCUGAGGGGACCGGUCCCCGUAUGCGACACCAGUGAGAGAAGGGCAAAGAAAGGCUAAGUCCUGGAAAUUCGGCUCUCGGGGACCGGUCUCUCAGGAAGGACCGGUCUCCCAGGGACCGGUCUCUCGGGUGGGGACCGGUUCCCGUAUGCGAAAGGUCCCCUGGCCGCGGGGAGGGCUCUCGGGGACCGGUCUCCCUGACGAGGGACCGGUCCCUCUGGGCGCAGAAUGCCCAGUGAGGGCUGUGCACAAGGAUGAAAGUUGAGGGGCUUAUUUGCAUUUAUGCAACACGUGGGGCUAUGUGAGGAGUAUGAGAGCUCUUUUCUCUUAUUUCUCACCCACACACCCUCUCAUAUCUCUCUUUCUCUCUCUAGAAGACAAGAAGAGGAAGAAGAAAGGAAAGGAAAGAAAGAGAAGGAGAAGGAGGUCUUCCUCAUCUUCUUCAUCUUCUCCUUGGUUGGAGCUUCUUGGAGAGGUAAGCUUCUAAGCUCUCUCUCAUGGUGGAUUUCUAGAGAUAGGUUUGAUUGCUCUAGAAAUGGAGUUUUGUGUUAUCUGAGGGCGUAGUACCUGCCAGUACAGGUAUAGAGCCAGAUGGCACUAGCGAAGUGCUAGAAGUAAUUUAUGGCGAGAAGUGAGACUCGCGGUAGAGAUAGAAGUGGCGAAAUGACUCUCAGAGCAAUAUGAGUAGUAAAUUGCGAGAGUUGAGCCAUGAUGCUUAUGAGAACACCCGAGUGGUCCGAAAAUUUCGGAUGUCAUUCUGAUAGAUCGAGCAGUGAAAGUAGCAUCACUGUUGAGAGAACGGUCGAUUAGUGGCCAAGUUCGAGCACGUGGGCCUAGUAGUACCUCAAGGUGAGGUAGGCGGUUGCGCUCGUGCGGCUGGUGUGCAUAGGCAAGAUUGCCUAAUGCUGGACUUAGUGUGGGACGCUAUAGAGGCUUAUAGAGCGCUCAAGUGUGGGUACUCGUAGAGUGCGGUUUCGAUUCAGCCGGGAGAGUGAGUUGGUAGUAGCACUCAGCAUUGCUAAGUGUGAAGAGGGCCAUGGAUCACUCGUGGGGCUGGUGGCUCGCACUAGGUGCAUAGGAGCCGAUAGUGAUACGUAUUGCUCGAUAGAGCGUGUAAUGCGAUUGAUAGUAUACUGAGAGUACAAUUGUGACCCAAUCCGAGAAUUUGAUACGGUUUGGGAUCUUGGUUGCUCCUGGUUGGAGUGUGUGCGAAUUCCCAAGAGAAUUUCGCCCCAGUUAUGAUUGGGUCUACGCUUGCGAGCGAGAGGCGCUACGCAUAUGUUGAGAUGGGUUUAGGCUGUAGGCCUACGUAGUAUCGGUGGCCUUUGGCUGACCUGUGAAAAACCGAGGAAAGUGAUUUGGCGAGUAGCCUUAUCGGGGAGUUUGACUUGAGUUCACGAACGACGUGCUCGUGUGAGUCGUUGCGAAAGUGGUAUGAUGUUGACCGUGGCAUAUGGUAUUAGGUAAUGAGGUGCUCUUGGCGAGGCCUUGAGCUAAUGGCCAGCCACGUAGAAUUGGAAUUGGGAUGCGCCGAGGUGGGCCAUCUCACGUCAAAGUUAAGGGCUAGUCUGGAAUUAAAGCACUUACGAUGAAGCGGUGCACCGGUGAUAUUGCUUUUAGGCAAUGUCGGUGAUUGAUUUGGAAUGCAUUCCCUGAAGGGGAAGUAAAUGCAAGGAAGAGUUCUUGCUUGUCAAGUGGCAAGUGGUGUUGGAGCGCGUAGAGUCGUCGAGUUUCGACUUGCGCUACCACAUAGAGUGACGGAGACCGUAAUUUACUUUGUGAGGUGUGCCUUGCAAAGUUCGAUGCAUUUGGUAUCACGAGCUCCGUAGUAGUCCUUUUGGAUAGUUCCGAUGAGUGAAAGGCUACUCCGAGAUGCAAAAGUGCAUUGGGACCCUCGACUAUUUGAUAAGUUGAGCUGGGGUAUGAAUUGGAAUUGAAGUGAGAUAGUUUCGAGGACGAAACUCUUUUAAGGAGAGGAGGAUGUAAGGUACCGGACUUCUAAAAUCAUGAAGUUACGGUGUACAUUUGGUUUGAAAGCCAUUUGAAUGGUUCUGGUGAGGUUGCGAUGGAAUGUAAUAUACCGGAUUUUUAAAUAUAAAAAUAAAAAUAAAUAAAAAUAGUAUGAGAUACUAUUUUUAUUGGAUUUAGAGGAGUAAAACAUAAGUCAGAAGUGACUUGUGCGGAAAUCGGAAUGAAAACAGAAGAUUUAGAAUUUUCUGUUAGAAACGGGGCAGAUAAAUAAGCAGAAAAUGCACAGUCUCAGAAAAUUAUGAAAAUUGGAGGAUAAGUCAGAAAUAUUUUUAUGAGACUAGAUUUAAAGUUUCAUAUUUUUAUGACACACGUAGAGUGAGAAAUAAAAUCCGACAGCUAUCUGAUAAAGAUUACAGUUCGGUACAGUUUUCGGUGACCAAAUGGGGUCGAAACUGAAAACUUAAAAUAUAUUCUUACUCAGUACGUUAAACUGAGCUUCCCUGUCAAAUUUGAGCUCAAACGGACAUUCAGAAGGGCUCAAACUGUUCCGAACUGCAAAAACUGCCUGAAGUGAAUAGUGUUUUGGGGUGUAUUAUAAAGAAGAUGUUGCUUCUUCUUCCCCAACCGACCAGCACCCCACCACCCUCUCGUGCGCAUGGUGAGAGAGAGAGAGAAAGCUCCUUUCUCUCUCUAGAUUUCUCUCUCAUUUCUCUAUAUUUCUCGCUCAAAUUCGCGGGGUUGGUGGAGAAGAUGCUUGCGAACGCAUUGGAGGCGACGGAUCGAGCUUUCGUGCGCCCGUUGGAGCGGCGUAUUUUCGUCGCGGCGUUCACAUUGAGGUAAGCUUUUGGGAUUUGGCUUAAUCCUUAGCUUUAAGUGUUCUAAUAGCCUCUAAUGAGCUUUGUUAGCAUGUUGAUCCAUUUAAUUUUGGAUUAUUUUGAGGUUAAUUGCAUAUUAGGGCUCCGAAUGGGGUUUUGUAAAAUAUAAGGGUUUGAUCUAAUUUGACCCUUCGUAAACCUAAUUGCUAGGUAAACGAACGCGUUGGCGAAGACGGUUCGGCGAUUCGUCGAGCCGGUGCGAAGUUAUUAAAGAAACGGACGUUUAGGCUUCAUUUUCGUCUGAAGGGCCUAGGCGACGUCGUAAAAUCCUGGAAACGGAUUUGAAGCACCGUAACAGCAAAACGAAGACCCUUUUUGCCCGAGGUUGCGAAGCGAUGCGCGGUUGGUGCGCAAUUGCAAGUUCCGGCGGAACCGAGCACCGGGUGCCGCGGGAGGCCGAUUGCAAGUGUCGACAAGCAAUCGGAAUGCGAAAUGAGGUGGGUUGUGCUUACCGAAGCGACUAGGUCGCCCUUUAUGUCUAAGAAACAUACGAAUUCACAUUGAUGCAUAUAGUUGUAUUGGUAGGCUUACAUGAUAAUAUGAAUGCUUGAAACAUAUUAUGUAGUUGAUAUUACCUACCAAUGAGAUGAAAUGUAUAAUGAAUUAAAUGGUAAAAGAAUGCAUGAGAUGCUAAGUAUAGACUACUUUGGAUGAUGAUUAAAUGUAUGUUGACAUAUCAUAUAAUGUGCAUGAUGACAUGUUGUGAAUUAACAUAUUGUGGAUUAUGUUAAAUAGAAACAUAUACAUGAUGACAUAUAUUGCAUAUGAUAGAAGAAUUAUACAUGUUGCCAUAUUGUGGAACAUAGUGGAUGAAUUAUGCAUGUUGAACUUGGUCGAUUAGAGAAAUUGACAUUGGAAAACAAGAACACAUCGAGUGGCAUUAAUGUAGUGUAUUUGACACUAGAGGUUUGAGAACCUAGGGAUAGGUGAAUCCCUUAGAAAAUGCCUUGUGGAUAAAGAACUUAGUAAACCUAAGUACCCUCACAUGGAGAGGUUGUCGAUGAGUUAUUGAGAUAUUGACUCUAGUUGUAGAGCAUCCUCACUUGGAGAGGAUUUGAUUGGGUUGUUGACUCUAGUUGUAGAGCAUCCUCACUUGGAGAGGAUUUGAUUGGGUUGUUGACCCUAGUU